ACCCACACACGUAUGGAAGGGAGAGAGAGAAACUCUCCUUUCUCUCUCUAAAUCUCUCCCAAAAUGGAUGGAUUUGGUGGAGAUUGAAGCUUGGAGGUGAAUCGCCUUCGUCUUCUUCAUCUUCUCCACCUUGAGGGCAAACUUGUGAGGUAAGCUUUUGCUACCCUUUAAUGGUAGAUCCUUAAUGGUUGGUUUAAAUACCUUAUAAAUGAAUUUAGAGGAAUCCUAGCAUACUAUCUAGAUGAAUGAUGCUUGAUUCAUGAAGGAAUUUGGUGGAUUUUUAUUUAGUUGUAAACCUAGGGUUCAAAAUGCUAGUUUGUGAAAUAUGACGGUUUGAUCUAAUUUAACCCCUUGUAAAUCUAAUUGCUAGAUAAACAAACGCGUUGGCGAAGUCGGUUCGGCGAUUCGUCGAGCCGUUGUAAAGUUAUUAAAGAAACAGACAUUUAGGCUUCGUUUCCGCCUGGAGGGCCGAGGCGACAUCGUAAACCCAUGAAAACGGAUUUGAAGCAUCGUGGCAUAUAGCCGAAGACCUUUAAUUUCCGGAUCGUGGAUUGGAGGCCGUUCGGGUGGUCGCGCGAGAGAUCGGGCCAAACCGAGUGCCGGGUGCCGCGGGAGGCCGAUUGCAAGUGUCGACAAGCAAUCGGAAAGCGAUUUGAGGUGGGUUGUGCUUACCGAAGCGACUAGGUCGCCUAUAUGUCUAAGAGUAAUGGUUUUCUAAUUGAUGCAUAUAGUCGAUGUUACUUACUGUUGAGAUAACAUGCAUAAUGACAUAUAAUGUGUUAAAUGCUAGAUGAAUGCAUGAGUUAAUUGUUACAUGAAUGCAUAAAAAUAAUAUUAUAGUAAUAUGUUAGAGGUAAUAUGCAUGUUGAUAAAUUAUGGAACAUGUUGGAUGGCAUAUGAAUGGUUGGCAUAUAUAUGUAGACAUAUUGUGGAAUAUGAUGAAUGAGUGCAUGUUGAUUUAUUGUAGAAUAUACUAGAUGAAUGUAUAUUGACAUAUUGUGGAUUAUGUUAAAUGACACAUGCAUGUUGAACUUGGGUCGAUAAACUCUAGGUGAAUUAGAGAACUCGACAUUGGAAAACAAUGACAUAUGAACUAUGAUAUGUGACGUGGACAAUCUAUAUAUAUUAGAUCGAGUGGCAUAUGAUUAGUAUAGUGGAAACACUUAUGGCAUGUUGAACACUUAGAAAACAAGUGUGGAAUGAGUCCAAGAAUAUAGUAGUGUAUAUGACACAAGUGAUAGUAAAGAAUGCAAAGAAAAGAAUGAUGAAAAUAUUAUGACAUUUCAACCCUAGAGUUAGGGUCAUUUGAGCAUAGUCUUCCUAAAGUUAAGGAAUGGAUUGAACUUGACAUCCUCAAGAUUUUGGAUUUGAUCAUUGAUCAUACUCACCUUUAGUCAUUGCAAAAGGUUGUGGUAGCUCCCCCUUGGGCGAUGUGCUCCGGAGUCGACAUUACUGGGUUGUAGCGGUUAUCUCCCAAGAGGACGGUCCCACCGGGUUGUAGCGGGUAUCUCCCCGGUUAAUGAAUUUUGGGUUGGUAAGUUUGUUGAGGGCGAAACCUUCGGGUUAGCCAAGUGAUUGGGUAAUAAACUUAUGAGCUAUAGUGAUGUCCUAGUUGAAGGGAUUUAAGGCUGAAGUGCAAGUGAGACGUCCUUCGCCUCGGGCCUGGCUUUGUGCGGUACUCCGCAGACGAUUGACUCAAGACCGAGUCGGGCGGUUAGUUUUGUAAAGAUAGAUGAAACUUUAUGAUUAAAAUGGUAAAUGACAGAAAACCUUAAAUGUCAAUUGGAUGAAAAUAGUAACCGAUUGAAUUACUAGUUGAUUAUGUAGUCGCAUCAUUGCAUGAUCUUCAUAUUGCAUUCGUGAGGCAAUGCAUGGUUUUAUUCGUUGCAUAAUCAAGAUAUAUAUCUAUCUGUUUAUUGAACUAACUUGCAAUUGCCUCCAUUGGACCUAUUGGUCGAGCUUUUUCAUUGGGUGGUUGUACCCACUGGGAACCAUGUUGUUGGUUCUCACCCCACGUGGUUUUAGAGUGUUACAGGUUCACACGUGAGCGGCGCGGCGGCGCGAGGCGAGGGCGUAGCAUCAUAAUUAUCGCCCUACCACCGAGACCAGAGAUAGCGGUACCCUGAGUCGGCUUUACUUAGGGAUGUAAGGAAAUGAAAGGAAUAAGAUUGUAAUAAUCAUGUUAAAUCGGAUUGUAUUUGGAAGUUAAAUAUAAUAAGUAUUGGGAUGUAAAAUGUAUGAAUGUGAAUGUAUGUAAUAACAUAGGAUGUGUUAUGUUAUUUGAUACUUUCCAUUAUGUAAUCUUGAUUGAAAUGUGUUCCUGGUUGGAAUUUCGCACAUUGUAUUGAUUGCGACGCCUUAAAUGUACAGGGGAGACUCUGUCCGCGAUACAGGGGAAACCCUGUCCGUUCGGCGGUCUGUUGCGGCGCCGCGACCCGGACAAAUAGGCGGGCGGUCGCAGGGCGUGACAAAAUAUUUGAUCCUUCUCACGCCCUUGAUUAU
RNAcentral lists this long non-coding RNA (2502 nucleotides) under Ananas comosus (pineapple). RNAcentral's name for it is "long non-coding RNA (ACOM_LNC018030)". The record is from RNAcentral. Lineage: Eukaryota; Viridiplantae; Streptophyta; Magnoliopsida; Poales; Bromeliaceae.